ACUGUCCCUCCCAGGGCAGGACUCAAGAGCGGGAGCCACGACUCCAUGUGCCCAAACAUGGGGAUGGGCAGCCACCGGGCCCCUCUGUCUCGCGAAGUUUCUCAGGACCCUGGGCUUUGCCACGGUCUCAGUCCUUCUCAACGUCUCCCUCCCUUAAUGCGCCUUCUUUCUUUUUCCUGUCCCUUCAAGAAUUAGAGUGGUCCUUUAAUUCUUUUUGUUUCCUCUCUUUUCGAUUUCCUUCUUUUGUGUCCAUCCUUCCUGCUUUCCUUCUUCCUCUCCCUCUUUUUAAAAUUGCAUUACUGUCAUACCUGGUUUCCCUGCAGUUCUUGGGUGGAGUUCGAGGACCCUCCCUGGUGGAAGGCGUUUGUGUUCUACCAAAAGAGGAGCCCUUCUGACCGAGGCUUCAGAGCUCAGCGUGGCGCCGACGGGACCACCUUUCCCUUCUCACCUCUUUUCCUCUCCACCUUCCAGGAAACCACUAUCUAUCCAUCUAUCCAUCUAUCUUCUGUAUACGAGUAGAAGGAGGAGGAGGAGGAGGAAAAUCAGGAAUCCACGCAAAGUUUUCCAAGCUCCCUGAAGUGGUUGGGCACAUCAGUAGCUGAGAGACUCCUCUGACCAUGGCCAGCCUCAGGAAGUGAGUGUCAACAGCCUUGCAGAUGGGAACUCAACUCCUGGGUACCCAUGCCUGAAAAGACAAUUUCGCUCUUGAUGCCCAGGCUGGAGUGUAAUGGCAUGAUCUCAGCUCACUGCAACCUCCGCCUCCCAGAUUCAAGCAAUUCUUCUGCCUCAGCCUCCCAAGCUGGGAUUACAGGCAUGUGUCACCAUGCACCUCUUGCACCCGGUCUCCUUCUCAGAGUCUGAUGCCCAGGAAAUCUGAUCUGUGGCAGUGUGGGGAUUCAUCCAAGAAUGAAGACUGUUUGUAAAUUGAGAUUUGAGGGUGGAAUCAUCCACUGGCCAGCCAGCUGUGAGGACCAGCCGCUGGUGGUUGGGGGUGCACAAAUGGCCUCAGGCCCGCUGUACUGCUGCAACUAUUAAAACUCCACCAUGGUGUACAUGGAAGGAUGGCUGGUAGAAUAGGACUUACUGGCAAGUAGUGUAUCAGGCAUUUGAGAGAUACAGGGCAAUAGUCAUUAUAAAGACAAUAGAACUAGAUAGUUGUUGUUAGGAAAUAAUCUAUUCUUUGGGGCAAGACCGUAAAAGGCUGAGGGUAAUUAAUCACCUCUUACAGGCUAAGUCAGAAUUCCAGAGGACAUCCUCAGAAGCAUAAAAAGAUACCCUCAUCUCCUAUCAUUGGAGUGCAGAAAAACCUGAGGAAUGAAUUUAGGAUUUAAUUAUGGAAGCACAGAGUUUCAGAGAAGGUUGAGUUCUGAGUUCCACAGACCAGCUCUGCCAAGGUCAGAGCCCUAAUUAUGAAGGAAUGGAACUGCAAUACAUGGGAUGUGGACAACUGAUGUAGGAUUUUUUCUUCUUGGUCACUUUGCAAGCCUGGGACCUCCAGCCAGUGAUGUCCGCCCAGGGCUUGCUUGGCUAUGCUGGUGUGCCUCAGCUUGUCUGUGUUAUAGCUUGUACCCACAUUUGGUGAUUCUCAAGCUCUUGUACCACACCCAAGAAGAUUGAGGAUAUGCUGCACAUUGAAGGGUGAGGAGGGCAGAGAAGAAUUUUACUGAGCGACCGAACAGCUCUCAGUGGAGAGGGGACACAGGGGAUGGUCCCUCACCCCCACAGUCAGGUGGUUCUCUCCUCCUUGCGUAGGUGGGUCUGGGGAUUUUUAUGGACUCAGAAUGGGGAGGGGCAGGCCAUAGGUAGUAUUGGAAAAGGCAACACUCAAUUGGUUAAAAAGUAUUAUUCAGAAAGAAUCAAUAGGGAAAGGGUGAGCAAACAGGAACAGAAGUUCUCAUUCUGGGUCACCGGUUUCAUCUGGGACCAGCAAUCUAGUUUUUCAGCCUUCAAGCUGUUUUUGACUUGAAGGUGGGGUUUCACCAGGGACCCACCCCUAUCUGCCUCAGCAUUUGGCUGACUCCUAUCGCUAUCAAAACUGUGUUAAUGUAUUAGAAACUCUUGAAUCCCCAGAUUCUCCUGUAUCCUCUGGGUCUGCAGAAGCAACCCACUCCUUCCUGUUAAAAGAUGGUACUCUGAUGUGCACCACCACCCCCAAGGAACACCCCUUGGUUUAAGCCAAUGCAAAGUCCUUUGCCUUGCGAGACAGCAUGCACACUCCUCAAGGAUAUGUUCUCAACUCCCCUCCUGACCAAUAAUCAGAAAUAUGUCACAACGUAACCCAACUGUGCUGGGCCUGCUAAGAGAGGAAAGGGAUUACAGCCAGCAGGAGCCACCGGACAUAUAUGCAUAUGCAUACAUUCCAAUAUGCGCUGGCAGGAGCUGGGAGAAUACAUAAAUGACUAGAUUCUAAGGGUACUGGAUCAAGGGGCAUGGGACAUAAAGUUGGUUAGGGGACAGUUUAUCAAUAUGGCAGCACUCUUCUGCAAUACAGAUUUAAUACCCUAUUUAAGGAGGUGAAGCUAACAUAUUUCUAGGAUGGCCCUUAGAAGCUUGGACAAAGUGAAGUAGAAGUGCCAGAAUUGCUGUGGCAGAUGGUGGAAGAGGGAUAGAAACCUUGAGCAGUAGGCCUACUACAGUGGAUAUAAUUAGCAAAACUGGGAAACUCACUCUAUGACUAUGUUUGGUGGGAAGCCCUGGAGGACACACUGUUGAUAAAAUCAAUAAGAAAUGCACUGACAAGAAGGCACCAGAAUCUCUGAGAAGCUUAGUGGUUGGUGAUAGUCUUCUGCAAGGUGGGAGAUCCUGUUGCAGAACUGGGCUCUCUGAUAGUAGAAGGAAAUGACAGAAUUCCAAAAUAAUAGAGUCAGGUGACACUUAAAUACCAGAAGAAAAGUGGGUGCAAUUAUUGUCAUGAAAAGCAAAGCUGAAGUGGAAGCCCAGGAGGCCUGACCUGAGAGCUAUUGAAGCAGCAACUAGAACGUGAUGUCCCUGGAGGGGCCUGGAGGAGGUCACACCCACGAGCCAGAGCUGACGUUCUUUUUUAGAGACAAAACUUUGCCUCCUUAACCAAUUGCAAAUGAGAAAAUCUUUGAGUCUGCCACCAACCUAUGGGCUCCUGCUUUGAGAUAGCCCACUUUUUUAGGUCAAACCAAUGUAUAGCCUCCGUGUUUUG
Molecule: long non-coding RNA, 3172 nt
Filed under: Homo sapiens (human)
Lineage: Eukaryota; Metazoa; Chordata; Mammalia; Primates; Hominidae
Description: non-protein coding lnc-CREG1-3:4
Source: RNAcentral